UGAACAGCGCUGAGUCACGCACCAACCCGCGAGGAAGCUCCAGCGAUCUCGGAUUCGGCCCCGUCGCGCGCCCAUCACAUUUCUCCCUUGCCCGCCGAGCGUACAGUAUCAUAGCCAUCAGUGGGAACGCGGGCUGAAUACUGAACACUGAGGUUAAUGAGGGAACUUGUCUGAGCGCGGGCCAAACUCAGCCCAUAAAGAACAGCGAGCCACGUACGAAGGCUCUCAGGUCUUUAAGCUGCGGAGAGGGAACUUCAGAUGAAAAGCGUGCGUGCAGCAAUCAUCGUAUCUAUAACAACACACUGCAACGCCGAACGCGGCGCAGGGCAGACUGACUCAUCAGAGCGGCGCACAGAAGGGAGUGCAGAGAAAUCUCCUCGAGCAGCCAGAAGGAUAUGAAGCCAUAAGUCAGCUAUGACAGAUUGUUAUGUGUCUUCCAAACUCUGCCCCUGCUGUUAGUGCUGCGUGUGAAUCCACCAUCUCCCCGAGGCACAUCACUGUGAUGACUGCACCAUAAGCUCCAGUGACCUUUCCUUUACAGUGGCAUCCAAAGAUUAGUCAGCCAAAUAUGCCUCGGCCAGAAUCAAUAAGCCUCCUAAACCAUCAACAGCUUUGAAGAUCAGAGACACCUUACCUCCAUCCCUCUGUCCAGCUCCUAAAUGCCGCAGCUGUCCGGGAGAGUCCGCGAGCUGCGUUUCAUCUGCUGCAAAAAAGGCAAAAGACUGUUUGAUUCCAGCUUGAACGGGCCGUUAAAUACUUUGGUCCACAUCAGUUUGGUCCUGUGAUAAUCCUGAAUAAAGGAAGGUUAAUGGACUAUCUGUCCUGCUGAAUGUGAGGAUUAAAGAUGUACAGGGCCUCUAGAGUGGCCACGCAGCGGAAGAAACCCAGUGCAUUUAUGGUGUGACAAGAUUAAUCUUUGAAAAUGAGUGUGAAGUCCAGAGACCUU
This is a long non-coding RNA of Acanthopagrus latus (yellowfin seabream), 946 nucleotides long. RefSeq lists it as uncharacterized. The transcript is spliced from 2 exons. The record is from RefSeq and is a predicted model, not a curated record. Lineage: Eukaryota; Metazoa; Chordata; Actinopteri; Spariformes; Sparidae.